GACGAACGCUGGCGGCGUGCUUAACACAUGCAAGUCGAACGGAAAGGCCCUGCUUUUGUGGGGUGCUCGAAUGGCGAACGGGUGAGUAACACGUGAGUACCUGCCCUUGACUUUGGGAUAACUUCAGGAAACUGGGGCUAAUACCGGAUAGGAGCUCCUGCUGCAUGGUGGGGGUUGGAAAGUUCCGGCGGUUGGGGAUGGACUCGCGGCUUAUCAGCUUGUUGGUGGGGUAGUGGCUUACCAAGGCUUUGACGGGUAGCCGGCCUGAGAGGGUGACCGGCCACAUUGGGACUGAGAUACGGCCCAGACUCCUACGGGAGGCAGCAGUGGGGAAUAUUGCACAAUGGGCGGAAGCCUGAUGCAGCAACGCCGCGUGCGGGAUGACGGCCUUCGGGUUGUAAACCGCUUUCGCCUGUGACGAAGCGUGAGUGACGGUAAUGGGUAAAGAAGCACCGGCUAACUACGCG
This 467-nucleotide ribosomal RNA is filed under the name uncultured bacterium. Its description in RNAcentral is "partial 16S ribosomal RNA". It matches the Rfam family "Bacterial small subunit ribosomal RNA", at positions 28 to 507 of the family's 1533-position model. The record is from RNAcentral.